This 650-nucleotide ribosomal RNA is filed under the name uncultured bacterium. RNAcentral's name for it is "bacterial SSU rRNA". It matches the Rfam family "Bacterial small subunit ribosomal RNA", at positions 28 to 675 of the family's 1533-position model. The record is from RNAcentral.
AUUGAACGCUGGCGGCAUGCCUUACACAUGCAAGUCGAACGGUAAUGCGGGGCAACCUGGCGACGAGUGGCGAACGGGUGAGUAAUAUAUCGGAACGUGCCCAGUAGUGGGGGAUAGCCCGGCGAAAGCCGGAUUAAUACCGCAUACGACCUACGGGUGAAAGCGGGGGAUCGCAAGACCUCGCGCUAUUGGAGCGGCCGAUAUCAGAUUAGGUAGUUGGUGGGGUAAAAGCCUACCAAGCCGACGAUCUGUAGCUGGUCUGAGAGGACGACCAGCCACACUGGGACUGAGACACGGCCCAGACUCCUACGGGAGGCAGCAGUGGGGAAUUUUGGACAAUGGGCGCAAGCCUGAUCCAGCCAUGCCGCGUGCGGGAAGAAGGCCUUCGGGUUGUAAACCGCUUUCGUCAGGGAAGAAAAGCUCUGGGCUAAUACCCUGGGGCGAUGACGGUACCUGAAGAAUAAGCACCGGCUAACUACGUGCCAGCAGCCGCGGUAAUACGUAGGGUGCAAGCGUUAAUCGGAAUUACUGGGCGUAAAGCGUGCGCAGGCGGUUGUGCAAGACAGAUGUGAAAUCCCCGGGCUCAACCUGGGAACUGCAUUUGUGACUGCACAGCUAGAGUACGGUAGAGGGGGAUGGAACUCCGCGUG